Molecule: unclassified non-coding RNA, 151 nt
Organism: Pongo abelii (Sumatran orangutan)
Lineage: Eukaryota; Metazoa; Chordata; Mammalia; Primates; Hominidae
Rfam family: Metazoan signal recognition particle RNA
About the family: The signal recognition particle (SRP) is a universally conserved ribonucleoprotein.
Source: Ensembl
GCUGGGUAUGGUGGCGCAUGCCUGUAGUCCCAGCUGCUACUUGGGAGGCUGAGAUGGGAGGAUCACUUCAACCCAGGAAGUUGAGGCUGCAGUGAGCCAUGUUUGUGCCACUGUACUCCAGCCUGGGUAAAAAAGUGAGACCCUGUCUCCA